GAUCAUGGCUCAGGAUGAACGCUGGCGGCGUGCUUAACACAUGCAAGUCGAACGAAGAUGCCGGAGUGCUUGCACUUUGGCAGACUGAGUGGCGGACGGGUGAGUAACGCGUGGGUAACCUGCCUUAUACAGGGGGAUAACAGUUGGAAACGACUGCUAAUACCGCAUAAGCGCACGGUAUCGCAUGAUACAGUGUGAAAAACUCCGGUGGUAUAAGAUGGACCCGCGUCUGAUUAGCUAGUUGGUGAGGUAACGGGCCCACCAAGGCGACGAUCAGUAGCCGGCCUGAGAGGGUGAACGGCCACAUUGGGACUGAGACACGGCCCAAACUCCUACGGGAGGCAGCAGUGGGGAAUAUUGCACAAUGGGGGAAACCCUGAUGCAGCGACGCCGCGUGAGUGAUGAAGUAUUUCGGUAUGUAAAACUCUAUCAGCAGGGAAGAUAAUGACGGUACCUGACUAAGAAGCACCGGCUAAAUACGUG
RNAcentral lists this ribosomal RNA (483 nucleotides) under uncultured bacterium. RNAcentral describes it as "bacterial SSU rRNA". It matches the Rfam family "Bacterial small subunit ribosomal RNA", at positions 15 to 507 of the family's 1533-position model. The record is from RNAcentral.